Molecule: unclassified non-coding RNA, 261 nt
Filed under: Hevea brasiliensis (rubber tree)
Lineage: Eukaryota; Viridiplantae; Streptophyta; Magnoliopsida; Malpighiales; Euphorbiaceae
Source: RNAcentral
CCUCUCUAAUUUUUCUCUUCUUCCUUUCUCUUCAAAUUCAACACAUCCUUUGUUUCUAUAUCUUCUCUUCGCCCGACCGACCGUAGCCAUGGCUGCGACGAUGGUGAGCUCGGCUGGUGCUUUGCUUGCGAUGCUUAACGAGACUCACCCGCAACUUAAGCAACACGCUUUGUAUAACCUUAACAAAUUUGUGGAUCAGUUCUGGCCGGAGAUCUCCACCAGUGUGCCAUUGAUAGAGAGCUUAUAUGAAGAUGAGGAGUU